CGGCAAUGGAGGAAACUCUGACCGAGCAACGCCGCGUGAACGAUGAAGUAUUUCGGUACGUAAAGUUCUUUUAUUAGGGAAGAAUAAAUGAUGGAAAAAUCAUUCUGACGGUACCUAAUGAAUAAGCCCCGGCUAACUAUGUGCCAGCAGCCGCGGUAAUACAUAGGGGGCAAGCGUUAUCCGGAAUUAUUGGGCGUAAAGGGUGCGUAGGCGGUUAAAUAAGUUUAUGGUCUAAGUGCAAUGCUCAACAUUGUGAUGCUAUAAAAACUGUUUAGCUAGAGUAAGAUAGAGGCAAGUGGAAUUCCAUGUGUAGUGGUAAAAUGCGUAAAUAUAUGGAGGAACACCAGUAGCGAAGGCGGCUUGCUGGGUCUUUACUGACGCUGAGGCACGAAAGCGUGGGGAGCAAACAGGGUUAGAUACCCUGGUAGUCCACGCCGUAAACGAUGAGUACUAAACGUUGGGUAAAACCAGUGUUGAAGUUAACACAUUAAGUACUCCGCCUGAGUAGUACGUACGCAAGUAUGAAACUUAAAGGAAUUGACGGGACUCCGCACAAGCGGUGGAUCAUGUUGUUUAAUUCGAAGGUACCCGAAAAACCUCACCAGGUCUUGACAUGCUUCUGCAAAGCUGUAGAAACACAGUGGAGGUUAUCAGUUGCACAGGUGGUGCAUGGUUGUCGUCAGCUCGUGUCGUGAGAUGUUGGGUUAAGUCCCGCAACGAGCGCAACCCUUAUUGUUAGUUACCAGCACGUAAUGGUGGGGACUUUAGCAAGACUGCCAGUGAUAAAUUGGAGGAAGGUGGGGACGACGUCAAAUCAUCAUGCCCCUUAUGACCUGGGCUACAAACGUGAUACAAUGGCUGUUACAAAGAGUAGCUGAA
This 879-nucleotide ribosomal RNA is filed under the name Chinese Huanglongbing disease-associated phytoplasma. RNAcentral's name for it is "bacterial SSU rRNA". It matches the Rfam family "Bacterial small subunit ribosomal RNA", at positions 366 to 1254 of the family's 1533-position model. The record is from RNAcentral. Lineage: Bacteria; Bacillati; Mycoplasmatota; Mollicutes; Acholeplasmatales; Acholeplasmataceae.